RNAcentral lists this ribosomal RNA (207 nucleotides) under uncultured bacterium. Its description in RNAcentral is "partial 16S ribosomal RNA". It matches the Rfam family "Bacterial small subunit ribosomal RNA", at positions 568 to 774 of the family's 1533-position model. The record is from RNAcentral.
CGUGUAGGCGGCUUGGUAAGUCAGAUGUGAAAGCCCUGGGCUCAACCCAGGAAGUGUAUUUGAAACUACUAGACUUGAGUACGGGAGAGGAGGGGGGAAUUCCCGGUGUAGAGGUGAAAUUCGUAGAUAUCGGGAGGAAUACCGGUGGCGAAGGCGCCCCUCUGGACCGAUACUGACGCUGAGACGCGAAAGCGUGGGGAGCAAACA